AACGAACGCUGGCGGCAGGCCUAACACAUGCAAGUCGAGCGAGGACUUCGGUUCUAGCGGCGGACGGGUGAGUAACGCGUGGGAAUGUGCCCUUCUCUACGGAAUAGCCCUGGGAAACUGGGAGUAAUACCGUAUACGCCCUAUUGGGGAAAGAUUUAUCGGAGAAGGAUCAGCCCGCGUUGGAUUAGGUAGUUGGUGGGGUAAUGGCCUACCAAGCCGACGAUCCAUAGCUGGUUUGAGAGGAUGAUCAGCCACACUGGGACUGAGACACGGCCCAGACUCCUACGGGAGGCAGCAGUGGGGAAUCUUAGACAGUGGCGGCAACCCUGAUCUAGCCAUGCCGCGUGAGUGAUGAAGGCCUUAGGGUUGUAAAGCUCUUUCAGCUGGGAAGAUAAUGACGGUACCAGCAGAAGAAGCCCCGGCUAACUCCGUG
RNAcentral lists this ribosomal RNA (433 nucleotides) under uncultured bacterium. RNAcentral's name for it is "partial 16S ribosomal RNA". It matches the Rfam family "Bacterial small subunit ribosomal RNA", at positions 29 to 507 of the family's 1533-position model. The record is from RNAcentral.